This 724-nucleotide ribosomal RNA is filed under the name Salmonella enterica. Its description in RNAcentral is "partial 23S ribosomal RNA". It matches the Rfam family "Bacterial large subunit ribosomal RNA", at positions 2104 to 2824 of the family's 2925-position model. The record is from RNAcentral. Lineage: Bacteria; Pseudomonadati; Pseudomonadota; Gammaproteobacteria; Enterobacterales; Enterobacteriaceae.
CUAUAGCUUGACACUGAACAUUGAGCCUUGAUGUGUAGGAUAGGUGGGAGGCUUUGAAGUGUGGACGCCAGUCUGCAUGGAGCCGACCUUGAAAUACCACCCUUUAAUGUUUGAUGUUCUAACGUGGACCCGUAAUCCGGGUUGCGGACAGUGUCUGGUGGGUAGUUUGACUGGGGCGGUCUCCUCCUAAAGAGUAACGGAGGAGCACGAAGGUUGGCUAAUCCUGGUCGGACAUCAGGAGGUUAGUGCAAUGGCAUAAGCCAGCUUGACUGCGAGCGUGACGGCGCGAGCAGGUGCGAAAGCAGGUCAUAGUGAUCCGGUGGUUCUGAAUGGAAGGGCCAUCGCUCAACGGAUAAAAGGUACUCCGGGGAUAACAGGCUGAUACCGCCCAAGAGUUCAUAUCGACGGCGGUGUUUGGCACCUCGAUGUCGGCUCAUCACAUCCUGGGGCUGAAGUAGGUCCCAAGGGUAUGGCUGUUCGCCAUUUAAAGUGGUACGCGAGCUGGGUUUAGAACGUCGUGAGACAGUUCGGUCCCUAUCUGCCGUGGGCGCUGGAGAACUGAGGGGGGCUGCUCCUAGUACGAGAGGACCGGAGUGGACGCAUCACUGGUGUUCGGGUUGUCAUGCCAAUGGCACUGCCCGGUAGCUAAAUGCGGAAGAGAUAAGUGCUGAAAGCAUCUAAGCACGAAACUUGCCCCGAGAUGAGUUCUCCCUGAGACUUAGAG